CAAUAGCGUAUAUUUAAGUUGUUGCAGUUAAAAAGCUCGUAGUUGGAUUUCGGGCGGGGUUGGCCGGUCCGCCGUUUCGGUGUGCACUGGCUGGUUUCGUCUUUUUGUCGAGGACGCGCUUCUGGCCUUUAUUGGUCGGGACGCGGAGUCGGCGCAGUUACUUUGAAAAAAUUAGAGUGUUCAAAGCGGGCAUACGCUUGAAUAUAUUAGCAUGGAAUAACACUAUAGGACUUCUGUUCUAUUUUGUUGGUCUUCGGAACGGGAGUAAUGAUUAAGAGGAACAGUUGGGGGCAUUCGUAUUUCAUUGUCAGAGGUGAAAUUCUUGGAUUUAUGAAAGACGAACUUCUGCGAAAGCAUUUGCCAAGGAUGUUUUCAUUAAUCAAGAACGAAAGUUGGGGGCUCGAAGACGAUCAGAUACCAU
Molecule: ribosomal RNA, 421 nt
Filed under: uncultured eukaryote
Lineage: Eukaryota
Description: SSU rRNA
Rfam family: Eukaryotic small subunit ribosomal RNA
Source: RNAcentral